This is a long non-coding RNA of Carassius carassius (crucian carp), 405 nucleotides long. RefSeq lists it as uncharacterized. The transcript is spliced from 2 exons. NCBI's taxonomy places the organism in Eukaryota, Metazoa, Chordata, Actinopteri, Cypriniformes, Cyprinidae. The record is from RefSeq and is a predicted model, not a curated record.
CACAAUUGUUUCUUGAGCAGCAAAUCAGCAUUUUAGAAUGAUUUCUAAAGGAUCAUGUGACACUGAAGACUAGUGGAAUGAUGCUGAAAAUACAGCUGCGCAUCACAAAAAUAAAUUACACUUUAACAGAUAUUCACAAAGAAACCAGUUAUUUUGAAUUGUAAAAAUAUUUUCACAUUUUUACUGUAUUUUAGAUCAAAUAAAUGCAGCCUCGGUGAGCAGAAGAGACUUCUAUAUGUCCAGCCAUUGGUCAAAAACAGCUAUUUUGAAGUAAAGUUUUAUGAAACAAAUAAACGUCUAUUAAAACGCUGAACCAGUUGUUUUAUUGCAAAUUAAUAAUUUUGACUGCUUAUUCAGUGAGUAUGACUGUAGUAUGAAUAUUAAACGUCCUCUGAUUCUACAGCA